RNAcentral lists this ribosomal RNA (321 nucleotides) under Nematoda environmental sample. RNAcentral describes it as "SSU rRNA". It matches the Rfam family "Eukaryotic small subunit ribosomal RNA", at positions 1300 to 1645 of the family's 1831-position model. The record is from RNAcentral. Lineage: Eukaryota; Metazoa; Nematoda.
GGUGGAGCGAUUUGUCUGGUUUAUUCCGAUAACGAACGAGACUCUGGCCUACUAAAUAGAGACAGGAUUAUUACUGUCCUGGAUUCUUCUUAGAGGGACAAGUGGUUUUCAGCCACACGAAAUUGAGCAAUAACAGGUCUGUGAUGCCCUUAGAUGUCCGGGGCUGCACGCGCGCUACACUGAAGGAAUCAGCGUGCUAAAACCAUUGUCGAAAGGCAUUGGUAAACCCCUCAAAAUCCUACGUGAUUGGGAUCGGGAAUUGCAAUUAUUUCCCUUGAACGAGGAAUUCCCAGUAAGUGUGGGUCAUAAGCUCGCGUUGAU